This 1005-nucleotide long non-coding RNA is filed under the name Chrysolophus pictus (golden pheasant). RNAcentral describes it as "lncRNA (ENSCPIG00010004651.1)". Lineage: Eukaryota; Metazoa; Chordata; Aves; Galliformes; Phasianidae. The record is from RNAcentral.
AUGUCCUCCUCCCCCCUGUCCCUAUAUUCCCCCGUCUCCAUAUCCUCCUCCCCCCCCGUCCCCAUGUCCCUCUGCCCCACGUCCCGCCACCAGGUGCGCUCGCUGUCCCCGCGCCCCUCUCUGAGCGACCCGGCGGAGCUGCAGCUGCUUCCAAGCGAUCCCCGCUUCUCGCUAUUUCAUUGUCACAGUUUCUCGGGCCCGGCCCUUAUCUCUCCCCGCAGACACCCGCGCAGCGGUCGCAGCCCCCGGAGCUCUCCGUGCCCCCCCCAGGGCUGCGGCCGGAGCCGGGGUUCUGCCUUCACCUCCCCACGUCCCACCAGUUUCUGCCUUCCCCUCCCCCCCCCCUCCCUGCCUAUCCCGGGCCGCUCAGCGCUCACCGCCGCUGCCCUUCUUUAUCUCCUGGCUUCAGCCCCGACUUUGCGGGAGGGGGAAAUGCAAAACGAGUGCAAACGCAGAAAAAAAAUUCGCGUUCGGCCAUUUUCUGCGAAGUUGACACCUCGAGAGAGUUUGUCCGAGGCGUGGAAACUGAACGUGGAAACUGCAAACACCGCACCUGGGCUGGAAGCUGUGUGGCCCCCCUUUCCCUUUCCCCCCUCCCCCCCGUGGUUGUCCCGGGCCGCGGGGACCCUCGUAAUCAGGGCACCCGGAGGGGUUCGCUCCAGGAGGACAGCGCUAGGAUGGUGUGGGGCAGUCGAGACGGUGCUUAGGAGUGUGUUGGGACGGUCUGAGAGCGAGGAGCAUCGAGCAGCAGCGCCGGCCGGGCCGAAGCGUACAGGGCGGAGGCUGCAGCCGCACCUGGGGGCCGGGCGGGGCAGACGGGACGCCGACGGGCUCAGAGCUCCUCCCGGCUGCGGUUCGGCCACACCGGCGGCUCUGGGCGGGAGCUGCGGGAAAGGGGAAGGAAAGGAAAGGGAAGGGAGCGCCGUGUUCUCUCUGCCCGAGGAGCGUCCGCGUCUUCGCGUCUCCUGGAUGGAAAAAAAUCAGUAUUUUGCCUCCAGCUGCUAA